GCAUAUCAAUAAGCGGAGGAAAAGAAACCAACAGGGAUUGCCCUAGUAACGGCGAGUGAAGCGGCAACAGCUCAAAUUUGAAAUCUGGCGCAAGCCCGAGUUGUAAUUUGUAGAGGAUGUUUCUGGCGACGUGCCUUCCGAGUUCCCUGGAACGGGACGCCAUAGAGGGUGAGAGCCCCGUACGGUUGGAUGCCUAGCCUCUGUGAAACUCCUUCGACGAGUCGAGUAGUUUGGGAAUGCUGCUCUAAAUGGGAGGUAUACGUCUUCUAAAGCUAAAUACCGGCCAGAGACCGAUAGCGCACAAGUAGAGUGAUCGAAAGAUGAAAAGCACUUUGAAAAGAGGGUUAAAAAGUACGUGAAAUUGUUGAAAGGGAAGCGUUCAUGACCAGACUUGGGCAGGUUGAUCAUCCGUGGUUCUCCGCGGUGCACUCUGCCUGCCCAGGCCAGCAUCAGUUCGCCCCGGGGGAUAAAGGCUUUGGGAAUGUGGCUCCCUCGGGAGUGUUAUAGCCCACUGUGUAAUACCCUGGGGUGGACUGAGGUUCGCGCUCUGCAAGGAUGCUGGCGUAAUGGUCAUCAACGACCCGUCU
Molecule: ribosomal RNA, 587 nt
Filed under: Arcopilus aureus
Lineage: Eukaryota; Fungi; Ascomycota; Sordariomycetes; Sordariales; Chaetomiaceae
Description: eukaryotic LSU rRNA
Rfam family: Eukaryotic large subunit ribosomal RNA
Source: RNAcentral